This 422-nucleotide ribosomal RNA is filed under the name uncultured bacterium. RNAcentral describes it as "bacterial SSU rRNA". It matches the Rfam family "Bacterial small subunit ribosomal RNA", at positions 355 to 775 of the family's 1533-position model. The record is from RNAcentral.
UAGGGAAUAUCGGACAAUGGGUGCAAGCCUGAUCCAGCCAUGCCGCGUGCAGGAAGAAGGCUUUCUGAGUUGUAAACUGCUUUUGCCAGGGGAUAAAAAGCCGGUGCGCCGGAAAUUGAAGGUACCUGGUGAAUAAGCCACGGCUAACUACGUGCCAGCAGCCGCGGUAAUACGUAGGUGGCAAGCGUUGUCCGGAUUUAUUGGGUUUAAAGGGUGCGUAGGCGGUUUCUUAAGUCAGUGGUGAAAUACGGCAGCUUAACUGUCGAGGUGCCAUUGAUACUGGGAAACUUGAGUACUGAUGAGGUAGGCGGAAUGGACGGUGUAGCGGUGAAAUGCUUAGAUAUCGUCCAGAACACCGAUAGCGAAGGCAGCUUACUAAAGAGUAACUGACGCUGAGGCACGAAAGUGUGGGGAGCGAACAG